RNAcentral lists this ribosomal RNA (253 nucleotides) under uncultured bacterium. RNAcentral's name for it is "partial 16S ribosomal RNA". It matches the Rfam family "Bacterial small subunit ribosomal RNA", at positions 524 to 776 of the family's 1533-position model. The record is from RNAcentral.
UACGUAGGGGGCUAGCGUUGUCCGGAAUCAUUGGGCGUAAAGAGCGUGUAGGCGGUCCGGUAAGUCCGCUGUGAAAGUCGGGGGCUCAACCCUCGAAUGCCGGUGGAUACUGUCGGGCUAGAGUGCGGAAGAGGCGAGUGGAAUUCCUGGUGUAGCGGUGAAAUGCGCAGAUAUCAGGAGGAACACCUAUUGCGAAGGCAGCUCGCUGGGACGUUACUGACGCUGAGGCGCGAAAGCGUGGGGAGCAAACAGG